ACAGUGCCAUGAUGUGGAUACUGUUCAUACUGAUGAUGUGGAUACUGUUCAUACUGAUGAUAUAAUGCUGAUAAUGUGGAUAUUGAUGAUGUAGAUGCCCCGGAUGAUCAACCAGGGACUAAUAGAGCUGGACAGUGCCAUGAUGUGAAUACUGUUGAUACUGAUGAUGUGGAUGCUGAUGAUGUGGAUGUUGAUAAUGUUGAUGCCUCCGUUGAUCAACCAGGGACUGAAAUAGGUCAACUCGAAGCAGUCGUAAAUGCUGGGAUUGGCACAAACCAUGAAAAACGAACAGCCACAGUCAGAACACCUUGGAGCUAGGCUGAAGAAGACGUGGUAGAAAAUGGCCUUAAAAAGUGUUUUAAGCUUAAUACUCCACCAAAAAUAAGUUAGAAUGUCUUGAACUUAUAAAGAAGUAUCCAAUUCUUGCCAGGCGAUCAAGGACAAUGGUGAAAGGGUACAUUAGAACAAGGCAACUGGCCUUGCAAUAGGCUCA
This is a long non-coding RNA of Mya arenaria, 493 nucleotides long. RefSeq lists it as uncharacterized. Lineage: Eukaryota; Metazoa; Mollusca; Bivalvia; Myida; Myidae. The record is from RefSeq and is a predicted model, not a curated record. The transcript has 4 exons.